Long non-coding RNA from Photinus pyralis (common eastern firefly), 470 nucleotides. RefSeq lists it as uncharacterized. Lineage: Eukaryota; Metazoa; Arthropoda; Insecta; Coleoptera; Lampyridae. The transcript is spliced from 3 exons. The record is from RefSeq and is a predicted model, not a curated record.
AAAAAUUAGAGCACUGUAGGAGUCGCAGUAAUAAUUUUCAUUUACGUGUAUUGUUGCUGUCUUACUUUUGUAACAAGUUUAACUUGGAAGAGAAGAACAACUUUUUCUACGUUGGUGACGAAAUUCUGAUAUUUAUACGAAAUUCUUUGAGGUUAGUUCUGAACAAAAUCGUGUUUGGGAAAUCAAAUAGAACUGAAAAAUAUUCACUCGGCAACCAAAGUAGAAGAUGCGUAGAAUACAGGGUCCCUUUGGAGCGAAAGAUUCAGAAGAAGAACGUAGGAGAACCAGAGAAGGUGUAAUAUCCAACUUAGUUAUGUUCGGUAUAAUCAUAGCAGUCAUCCGAGCAGCUCCUUUGGUUAUUAAGCAGUUGUGAUAGAAUUGAAAGAAUUUUAUCUUUAGUCCUACUUGUCAAGCGUCAUCUUAUUAUGUCCUUUCAUAGUUAAUAAAUGUUAUUUCUGUUUUUGUAGAGA